Long non-coding RNA from Xiphophorus couchianus (Monterrey platyfish), 805 nucleotides. RefSeq lists it as uncharacterized. The transcript has 3 exons. The record is from RefSeq and is a predicted model, not a curated record. Lineage: Eukaryota; Metazoa; Chordata; Actinopteri; Cyprinodontiformes; Poeciliidae.
UUUUUUCCAAAUGCGACCAACUUGGAUAUGUGGUCCUAAAUCCGAAACAUAUCUGAUCUUUUCAAACGGGACAUCAAUCUGUAUGGCCAAGUCUUGCUCAUCCGACUUUGACGUCAUUGUUACUCGACAAACGUCACUAUUCUGCGUCCUGAUACGCGCAAGCGGGAAGAAAAACAACCUCCAUGGCGGACUGUAAUGAAGAUGAAGUUGUUAAUGUGCUGACUUCUAUCGGACAACAACUUUAAAAUGGACCCGUCGAUUAGAACCAUCCAAAGCUGCUGUUUCUAUCAGGCCCCUCAUCUGGUCGCACCAGAAGAGUCGAUCAUCAGUGAAGUCGAUGGUCAGACCAGUGGGAGACAUGAGGCCGGUGCUGGCAAUGAUCACACGACUGCUUCCCUCCAGAGUGGCGCUUUCUACCACAGGCUGAGCGCCGGUGUCUGUCCAGAAUAACUUCCUCCAGAAGUUGGAACAAAAAGCCACACUUAAAGAGGAGAACAGGAAGGUUGCAGCUGAGUUGAGGUAAAGGCUUAUAUUCUGUUAAAAACAAACAUUGUGGUUCCAGUUACAGCAACAAUAUGAUCUGUAUUAAUUUAAUCCUUUCAUAUUGUAAAGCCUCGUUUUACGGCAUACACACAGAGUGACGUGUGACUGCUCUUUAAUGUAUUUAAUGACUCCUCACAGCAGAAAAGAUAGAUCAAAUAUUUUAAAUGAUUUUUUUUUAAGCUUCUCAAAGAAAAUCAGUAUCAGCUUAAAUCCAUACCAGCAGGUUAAUGUUAAAAAUGAUAUGGAUAAUAGAAAUUAGCUA